AGAGUUUGAUCAUGGCUCAGAACGUACGCUGGCGGCACGCCUAACACAUGCAAGUCGAACGAAGUAGCAAUACUUAGUGGCAGACGGGUGAGUAACAUGUGGGUAUCUGCCCUUUGGCCUGGAAUAACACGAGGAAACUUGUGCUAAUACCGGAUAAGUCUUUACAGAGAAAGCUUUAUGCACCAUUGGAUGAGCCCGCACUUGAUUAGUUUGUUGGUGGGGUAAUGGCUUACCAAGACUGUGAUCAAUAGCUGAUUUGAGAGGAUGAUCAGCCACAUUGGGACUGAGACACGGCCCAAACUCCUACGGGAGGCAGCAGUGGGGAAUCUUGCACAAUGGAGGAAACUCUGAUGCAGCGAUGCCGCGUGAGUGAAGAAGGCCCUUGGGUUGUAAAGCUCUUUCGUCGGGGAAGAAAAUGACUGUACCCGAAUAAGAAGGUCCGGCUAACUUCGUGCCAGCAGCCGCGGUAAUACGAAGGGACCUAGCGUAGUUCGGAAUUACUGGGCUUAAAGAGUUCGUAGGUGGUUGAAAAAGUUGGUGGUGAAAUCCCAGAGCUUAACUCUGGAACUGCCAUCAAAACUUUUCAGCUAGAGUUUGAUAGAGGAAAGCAGAAUUUCUAGUGUAGAGGUGAAAUUCGUAGAUAUUAGAAAGAAUACCAAUUGCGAAGGCAGCUUUCUGGAUCAUUACUGACGCUGAGGAACGAAAGCAUGGGUAGCGAAGAGGAUUAGAUACCCUCGUAGUCCAUGCCGUAAACGAUGUGUGUUAGACGUUGGAAAUUUAUUUUCAGUGUCGCAGCGAAAGCGAUAAACACACCGCCUGGGGAGUACGACCGCAAGGUUAAAACUCAAAUGAAUUGACGGGGACCCGCACAAGUAGUGGAGCAUGUGGUUUAAUUCGAAGAUACGCGCAGAACCUUACCAACACUUGACAUGUUCGUCGCGACUUUAAGAGAUUAAAGUUUUCGGUUCGGCCGGACGAAACACAGGUGCUGCAUGGCUGUCGUCAGCUCGUGUCGUGAGAUGUUGGGUUAAGUCCCGCAACGAGCGCAACCCUCACUUUUAGUUGCCAUCAUUAAGUUGGGCACUCUGAAAGAACUGCCAGUGAUAAGCUGGAGGAAGGUGGGGAUGACGUCAAGUCCUCAUGGCCCUUACGUGUUGGGCUACACACGUGCUACAAUGGUAUCUACAACAGGAAGCGAAACAGCGAUGUUAAGCAAAUCCUUAAAAGAUACCUCAGUUCGGAUUGCACUCUGCAACUCGAGUGCAUGAAGCUGGAAUUACUAGUAAUCGUGGAUCAGCGUGCCACGGUGAAUGCGUUCCCGGGUCUUGUACACACCGCCCGUCACACCAUGGGAGUUGGUUCUACCUUAAGGCAAGGUUUAAUACCCUUGACCACGGUAUAGUCAGCGACUGGGGUGAAGUCGUAACAAGGUAACCGUA
This 1439-nucleotide ribosomal RNA is filed under the name uncultured bacterium. RNAcentral describes it as "bacterial SSU rRNA". It matches the Rfam family "Bacterial small subunit ribosomal RNA". The record is from RNAcentral.